GGGGCCGUAGCUCAGCUGGGAGAGCACCUGCUUUGCAAGCAGGGGGUCAUCGGUUCGAUCCCGAUCGGCUCCA
RNAcentral lists this transfer RNA (73 nucleotides) under Arboricoccus pini. RNAcentral's name for it is "Arboriscoccus pini tRNA". It matches the Rfam family "tRNA". From Rfam's summary of the family: Transfer RNA (tRNA) molecules are approximately 80 nucleotides in length. Their secondary structure includes four short double-helical elements and three loops (D, anti-codon, and T loops). The record is from Rfam by way of RNAcentral. Lineage: Bacteria; Pseudomonadati; Pseudomonadota; Alphaproteobacteria; Geminicoccales; Geminicoccaceae.